This 260-nucleotide ribosomal RNA is filed under the name uncultured bacterium. RNAcentral describes it as "partial 16S ribosomal RNA". It matches the Rfam family "Bacterial small subunit ribosomal RNA", at positions 94 to 353 of the family's 1533-position model. The record is from RNAcentral.
ACCGGCGCACGGGUGAGUAACACGUAUCCAACCUGCCCUUUCUCGGGGGAUAGCCUUUCGAAAGAAAGAUUAAUACCCGAUAGCAUAAUGAUUCCGCAUGGUUUCAUUAUUAAAGGAUUCCGGUAAAGGAUGGGGAUGCGUUCCAUUAGGUUGUUGGUGAGGUAACGGCUCACCAAGCCUUCGAUGGAUAGGGGUUCUGAGAGGAAGGUCCCCCACAUUGGAACUGAGACACGGUCCAAACUCCUACGGGAGGCAGCAUG